GCAGUAGCCGCGGGAAUACAGAGGGUGCGAGCGUUAAUCGGAUUUACUGUGCGUAAAGCGUGCGUAGGCGGCUUUUUAAGUCGGAUGUGAAAUCCCUGAGCUUAACUUAGGAAUUGCAUUCGAUACUGGGAAGCUAGAGUAUGGGAGAGGAUGGUAGAAUUCCAGGUGUAGCGGUGAAAUGCGUAGAGAUCUGGAGGAAUACCGAUGGCGAAGGCAGCCAUCUGGCCUAAUACUGACGCUGAGGUACGAAAGCAUGGGGAGCAAACAGGAUUAGAUACCCGUGUAGUCCCUGUCUCUUAUAC
Molecule: ribosomal RNA, 302 nt
Filed under: uncultured bacterium
Lineage: Bacteria
Description: partial 16S ribosomal RNA
Rfam family: Bacterial small subunit ribosomal RNA
Source: RNAcentral